CUACGGGGGGCUCCAGUGAGGAAUUUUGCGCAAUGGGGGAAACCCUGACGCAGCAACGCCGCGCGAGUGAAGAAGGCUUUCGGGUCGUAAAGCUCUGUCAGAUAGGAAAAAAGUUCAUAUGUAAAUAGCUUAUGAAUCUGAUGGUACUAUCAGAGGAAGCACCGGCUAACUCCGUGCCAGCAGCCGCGGUAAUACGGAGGGUGCAAGCGUUGUUCGGAAUUACUGGGCGUAAAGGGCGUGUAGGCGGUAUGGUAAGUCAGAUGUGAAAGCCCUGGGCUUAACUCAGGAAGUGCAUUUGAUACUGCCAUCCUUGAGUAUGGGAGAGGAGAGUAGAAUUCCCAGUGUAGAGGUGAAAUUCGUAGAUAUUGGGAGGAAUACCCGUGGCGAAGGCGACUCUCUGGACCAAUACUGACGCUGAGACGCGAAAGCGUGGGGAGCAAACAGGAUUAGAUACCCUCGUAGUC
This 464-nucleotide ribosomal RNA is filed under the name uncultured bacterium. RNAcentral describes it as "partial 16S ribosomal RNA". It matches the Rfam family "Bacterial small subunit ribosomal RNA", at positions 339 to 795 of the family's 1533-position model. The record is from RNAcentral.